UCAAGUUAUUAAGGGUGCAGGGCGGAUGCCUUGGCACUAGGAGCCGAUGAAGGACGUGAUAAGCUGCGAUAAGCUUCGGGGAGUUGCACGUAAACUUUGAUCCGAAGAUUUCCGAAUGAGGAAACUCACUUAGAGUAAUGUCUAAGUAUCGUUAAGUGAAUACAUAGCUUAACGAGGGGAACCCGGGGAACUGAAACAUCUAAGUACCCGGAGGAAGAGAAAGAAAUUCGAUUCCGUAAGUAGCGGCGAGCGAACGCGGAACAGGCCAAACCAAUGAAGUUUACUUCGUUGGGGUUGCGGACAUACAACAUGGAUGCAAUAUCGUAAAUGAAGAGAGUUGGAAAGCUCCGCCAUAGAAGGUAAUAGCCCUGUAGUUGAAACGAGAAAGCUACUAGUAUGAUCCAGAGUACCACGGGACACGUGAAACCCUGUGGGAAGCAGGAGGGACCAUCCUCCAAGCCUAAAUACUACCUAGUGACCGAUAGCGCAUAGUACCGUGAGGGAAAGGUGAAAAGAACCCCGGGAGGGGAGUGAAAUAGAACCUGAAACCCUGCACUUACAAGCUGUGGGAGCACAUUACUUGUGUGACCGCGUACUUUUUGUAGAACGGGCCAACGAGUUACGUUAAGUAGCAAGGUUAAGCACUUAAGGUGUGGAGCCGUAGCGAAAGCGAGUCUUAAAUGGGCGAUUAAGUUACUUGGCGUAGACCCGAAACCGGGCGACCUAUCCAUGAGCAGGUUGAAGCGAAAGUAAAAUUUCGUGGAGGACCGAACCCACGAGCGUUGAAAAGCUCGGGGAUGACUUGUGGAUAGCGGAGAAAUUCCAAUCGAACCCGGAGAUAGCUGGUUCUCCCCGAAAUAGCUUUAGGGCUAGCCUCAAGCGUAGAGAAACGGAGGUAGAGCACUGAAUGUCCUAGGGGGUAUUGCACUUACCGAAGACUAUCAAACUCCGAAUGCCGUUUUCUUUUACUUGGGAGUCAGACUGUGGGUGAUAAGAUUCAUAGUCAAAAGGGCAACAGCCCAGAUCGUCAGCUAAGGUCCCUAAAUGUACGUUAAGUGGUAAAGGAUGUGGGAUUGCACAGACAACCAGGAUGUUGGCUUAGAAGCAGCCACUCAUUUAAAGAGUGCGUAAUAGCUCACUGGUCGAGUGAUCCUGCGCCGAAAAUUUCCGGGGCUAAAACGUACUACCGAAGCUACGGCAUCAUUUAUGAUGGGUAGGGGAGCUUCGUAUGCAGGCUGAAGCAUGACCGUAAGGACAUGUGGACAGUAUACGAGUGAGAAUGUUGGCAUGAGUAGCGAGACGUGGGUGAGAAUCCCACGGGCCGUAAACCCAAGGUUUCCAGGGGAAGGUUCGUCCGCCCUGGGUUAGUCGGGACCUAAGCCGAGGCCGAAAGGCGUAGGUGAUGGACAACAGGUUGAUAUUCCUGUACCGCCAAUAAGCGUUUGAGAGAUGGAGUGACACAGUAGGAUAAGCUAACCGUACUGUUGGUUAUGUACGGCUAAGCAUUGAGGCAGUCUAAAUAGGCAAAUCCGUUUAGACAAUGCUAGGAUGUGAUGGGGAAGCCCUUCGGGGCGAAGUAGCUGAUUUCACACUGUCAAGAAAAGCUUCUAUCGAGUUUAAAGGCGCCCGUACCGUAAACCGACACAGGUGGGUGAGGAGAGUAUCCUAAGGCCAGCGAGAGAACUAUUGUUAAGGAACUCGGCAAAAUGACCCCGUAACUUAGGGAGAAGGGGUGCCUGUCUAUGACAGGCCGCAGAGAAUAGGCCCAAGCGACUGUUUACCAAAAACACAGGUUUCUGCUAAGUCGCAAGACGAUGUAUAGGAGCUGACGCCUGCCCGGUGCUGGAAGGUUAAGGGGAUCUGUUAGAGCAAUCGAAGCAGUGAACUUAAGCCCCAGUAAACGGCGGCCGUAACUAUAACGGUCCUAAGGUAGCGAAAUUCCUUGUCGGGUAAGUUCC
This 1958-nucleotide ribosomal RNA is filed under the name human gut metagenome. RNAcentral describes it as "bacterial LSU rRNA". It matches the Rfam family "Bacterial large subunit ribosomal RNA", at positions 3 to 1984 of the family's 2925-position model. The record is from RNAcentral.